This 497-nucleotide ribosomal RNA is filed under the name uncultured bacterium. RNAcentral's name for it is "partial 16S ribosomal RNA". It matches the Rfam family "Bacterial small subunit ribosomal RNA", at positions 28 to 507 of the family's 1533-position model. The record is from RNAcentral.
GAUGAACGCUGGCGGCGUGCCUAAUACAUGCAAGUCGAGCGAACGGACGAGAAGCUUGCUUCUCUGAUGUUAGCGGCGGACGGGUGAGUAACACGUGGAUAACCUACCUAUAAGACUGGGAUAACUUCGGGAAACCGGAGCUAAUACCGGAUAAUAUUUUGAACCGCAUGGUUCAAAAGUGAAAGACGGUCUUGCUGUCACUUAUAGAUGGAUCCGCGCUGCAUUAGCUAGUUGGUAAGGUAACGGCUUACCAAGGCAACGAUGCAUAGCCGACCUGAGAGGGUGAUCGGCCACACUGGAACUGAGACACGGUCCAGACUCCUACGGGAGGCAGCAGUAGGGAAUCUUCCGCAAUGGGCGAAAGCCUGACGGAGCAACGCCGUGUGAGUGAUGAAGGUCUUCGGAUCGUAAAACUUUGUUAUUAGGGAAGAACAUAUGUGUAAGUAACUGUGCACAUCUUGACGGUACCUAAUCAGAAAGCCACGGCUAACUACGUG